CUACGGGUUGCACCAGUGGGGAAUAUUGCACAAUGGAGGAAACUCUGAUGCAGCAACGCCGCGUGGAGGAUGACACUUUUCGGAGCGUAAACUCCUUUUAUAUAGGAAGAAGAUGACGGUACUAUAUGAAUAAGCGCCGGCUAACUCCGUGGCCAGCAGCCGCGGUAAUACGGAGGGCGCAAGCGUUACUCGGAAUCACUGGGCGUAAAGAGCGUGUAGGCGGAUUAAAAAGUCAGAAGUGAAAUCCUAUAGCUUAACUAUAGAACUGCUUCUGAAACUCUUAAUCUAGAAUAUGGGAGAGGUAGAUGGAAUUUCUGGUGUAGGGGUAAAAUCCGUAGAGAUCAGAAGGAAUACCGAUUGCGAAGGCGAUCCACUAGAACAUUAUUGACGCUGAGACGCGAAAGCGUGGGGAGCAAACAGGAUUAGAUACCCGCGUAGUC
Molecule: ribosomal RNA, 440 nt
Filed under: uncultured bacterium
Lineage: Bacteria
Description: partial 16S ribosomal RNA
Rfam family: Bacterial small subunit ribosomal RNA
Source: RNAcentral